RNAcentral lists this ribosomal RNA (336 nucleotides) under uncultured bacterium. Its description in RNAcentral is "bacterial SSU rRNA". It matches the Rfam family "Bacterial small subunit ribosomal RNA", at positions 32 to 361 of the family's 1533-position model. The record is from RNAcentral.
AAUCAACGCUGGCGGCGUGCCUCAGACAUGCAAGUCGAACGAUUAAAGCUCUCUUCGGAGAGUGCAUAGAGUGGCGCACGGGUGAGUAACACGUAAGUAAUCUACCUUCGAGUGGGGAAUAACGUCCGGAAACGGACGCUAAUACCGCAUAAUGCAGCGGCAUCGUAAGAUGACAGUUGUUAAAGAUUUAUCGCUUGAAGAGGAGCUUGCGGCAGAUUAGCUAGUUGGUAAGGUAAUGGCUUACCAAGGCUACGAUCUGUAACCGGUCUUAGAGGACGGUCGGUCACACUGACACUGAAUAACGGGUCAGACUCCUACGGAGGCAGCAGUCGGGAA